GCAGGAGUCGCCGAGCCUGGCCAAAGGCGCGGGACUUAAGAUCCCGUCUCUUAGGGGUUCGUGGGUUCAAAUCCCACCUCCUGCA
This 85-nucleotide transfer RNA is filed under the name Nitrososphaera sp. RNAcentral's name for it is "tRNA-Leu". It matches the Rfam family "tRNA". From Rfam's summary of the family: Transfer RNA (tRNA) molecules are approximately 80 nucleotides in length. Their secondary structure includes four short double-helical elements and three loops (D, anti-codon, and T loops). Lineage: Archaea; Thermoproteati; Nitrososphaerota; Nitrososphaeria; Nitrososphaerales; Nitrososphaeraceae. The record is from RNAcentral. RNAcentral also lists the same sequence under 7 other names.